UAUGGCGACCGGCGCACGGGUGAGUAACACGUAUCCAACCUGCCGAUGACUCGGGGAUAGCCUUUCGAAAGAAAGAUUAAUACCCGAUGGCAUAGUUCUUCCGCAUGGUGGAACUAUUAAAGAAUUUCGGUCAUCGAUGGGGAUGCGUUCCAUUAGGUUGUUGGUGAGGUAACGGCUCACCAAGCCUUCGAUGGAUAGGGGUUCUGAGAGGAAGGUCCCCCACAUUGGAACUGAGACACGGUCCAAACUCCUACGGGAGGCAGCAUG
Molecule: ribosomal RNA, 267 nt
Filed under: uncultured bacterium
Lineage: Bacteria
Description: partial 16S ribosomal RNA
Rfam family: Bacterial small subunit ribosomal RNA
Source: RNAcentral